Molecule: non-coding RNA, 744 nt
Organism: Homo sapiens (human)
Lineage: Eukaryota; Metazoa; Chordata; Mammalia; Primates; Hominidae
Source: RefSeq, a predicted model, not a curated record
UUUAAAAAGGGCCUACUUCCAAAAAUUCAUUUGAAAAAAAAUCUGGUUAGAUUUCAUGGUAAUCUCUCCAGGGACACAAUAAUAAAUGCAGAGAGGUGUUCAUAAAGAGCAAUAUCAGAUGGCACCCCAAAAAAGGAUAUGAAAGAACACCAAAAGGGAACUCUAAAGAUUUAGUUGGAAAAGUAGAUGCAGAGAGGUGUUCAUAAAGAGCAAUAUCAGAUGGCACCCCAAAAAAGGAUAUGAAAGAACACCAAAAGGGAACUCUAAAGAUUUAGUUGGAAAAGUAGCACUAUUCACAAUAGCAAAGACUUGGAACCAACCCAAAUGUCCAACAAUGAUAGACUGAAUUAAGAAGAUGUGGCACAUAUACACCAUGGAAUACUAUGCAGCCAUAAAAAAGGAUGAGUUAACGUCCUUUGCAGAGACAUGGAUGAAGCUGGAAACCAUCAUUCUGAGCAAACUAUCACAAGGACAGAAAACCAAACACCACAUGAUCUCACUCAUAAGUGGGAACUGAACAAUGAGAACACUUGGUCAUAGGGUGGGGAACAUCACACACUGGGGCCUGUCAUGCGGUGGGGGGCAGAGGGAGGAAUAACACUGGGAGAGAUACCUAAUGUAAAUGACGGGUUGAUGGAUGCAAUGGGCCAGCAUGGCACAUGUAACGAGCCUAUGUAACGAGCCUGCACGUUGUGCACAUGCACCCUAGAACUUAAAGUAUAAUAAUAAAAAUUAAAAAAACAA